This 2901-nucleotide ribosomal RNA is filed under the name Escherichia coli BIDMC 59. RNAcentral's name for it is "bacterial LSU rRNA". It matches the Rfam family "Bacterial large subunit ribosomal RNA". Lineage: Bacteria; Pseudomonadati; Pseudomonadota; Gammaproteobacteria; Enterobacterales; Enterobacteriaceae. The record is from RNAcentral.
UUAAGCGACUAAGCGUACACGGUGGAUGCCCUGGCAGUCAGAGGCGAUGAAGGACGUGCUAAUCUGCGAUAAGCGUCGGUAAGGUGAUAUGAACCGUUAUAACCGGCGAUUUCCGAAUGGGGAAACCCAGUGUGUUUCGACACACUAUCAUUAACUGAAUCCAUAGGUUAAUGAGGCGAACCGGGGGAACUGAAACAUCUAAGUACCCCGAGGAAAAGAAAUCAACCGAGAUUCCCCCAGUAGCGGCGAGCGAACGGGGAGGAGCCCAGAGCCUGAAUCAGUGUGUGUGUUAGUGGAAGCGUCUGGAAAGGCGCGCGAUACAGGGUGACAGCCCCGUACACAAAAAUGCACAUACUGUGAGCUCGAUGAGUAGGGCGGGACACGUGGUAUCCUGUCUGAAUAUGGGGGGACCAUCCUCCAAGGCUAAAUACUCCUGACUGACCGAUAGUGAACCAGUACCGUGAGGGAAAGGCGAAAAGAACCCCGGCGAGGGGAGUGAAAAAGAACCUGAAACCGUGUACGUACAAGCAGUGGGAGCACGCUUAGGCGUGUGACUGCGUACCUUUUGUAUAAUGGGUCAGCGACUUAUAUUCUGUAGCAAGGUUAACCGAAUAGGGGAGCCGAAGGGAAACCGAGUCUUAACUGGGCGUUAAGUUGCAGGGUAUAGACCCGAAACCCGGUGAUCUAGCCAUGGGCAGGUUGAAGGUUGGGUAACACUAACUGGAGGACCGAACCGACUAAUGUUGAAAAAUUAGCGGAUGACUUGUGGCUGGGGGUGAAAGGCCAAUCAAACCGGGAGAUAGCUGGUUCUCCCCGAAAGCUAUUUAGGUAGCGCCUCGUGAAUUCAUCUCCGGGGGUAGAGCACUGUUUCGGCAAGGGGGUCAUCCCGACUUACCAACCCGAUGCAAACUGCGAAUACCGGAGAAUGUUAUCACGGGAGACACACGGCGGGUGCUAACGUCCGUCGUGAAGAGGGAAACAACCCAGACCGCCAGCUAAGGUCCCAAAGUCAUGGUUAAGUGGGAAACGAUGUGGGAAGGCCCAGACAGCCAGGAUGUUGGCUUAGAAGCAGCCAUCAUUUAAAGAAAGCGUAAUAGCUCACUGGUCGAGUCGGCCUGCGCGGAAGAUGUAACGGGGCUAAACCAUGCACCGAAGCUGCGGCAGCGACACUAUGUGUUGUUGGGUAGGGGAGCGUUCUGUAAGCCUGUGAAGGUGUACUGUGAGGUAUGCUGGAGGUAUCAGAAGUGCGAAUGCUGACAUAAGUAACGAUAAAGCGGGUGAAAAGCCCGCUCGCCGGAAGACCAAGGGUUCCUGUCCAACGUUAAUCGGGGCAGGGUGAGUCGACCCCUAAGGCGAGGCCGAAAGGCGUAGUCGAUGGGAAACAGGUUAAUAUUCCUGUACUUGGUGUUACUGCGAAGGGGGGACGGAGAAGGCUAUGUUGGCCGGGCGACGGUUGUCCCGGUUUAAGCGUGUAGGCUGGUUUUCCAGGCAAAUCCGGAAAAUCAAGGCUGAGGCGUGAUGACGAGGCACUACGGUGCUGAAGCAACAAAUGCCCUGCUUCCAGGAAAAGCCUCUAAGCAUCAGGUAACAUCAAAUCGUACCCCAAACCGACACAGGUGGUCAGGUAGAGAAUACCAAGGCGCUUGAGAGAACUCGGGUGAAGGAACUAGGCAAAAUGGUGCCGUAACUUCGGGAGAAGGCACGCUGAUAUGUAGGUGAAGUCCCUCGCGGAUGGAGCUGAAAUCAGUCGAAGAUACCAGCUGGCUGCAACUGUUUAUUAAAAACACAGCACUGUGCAAACACGAAAGUGGACGUAUACGGUGUGACGCCUGCCCGGUGCCGGAAGGUUAAUUGAUGGGGUUAGCGCAAGCGAAGCUCUUGAUCGAAGCCCCGGUAAACGGCGGCCGUAACUAUAACGGUCCUAAGGUAGCGAAAUUCCUUGUCGGGUAAGUUCCGACCUGCACGAAUGGCGUAAUGAUGGCCAGGCUGUCUCCACCCGAGACUCAGUGAAAUUGAACUCGCUGUGAAGAUGCAGUGUACCCGCGGCAAGACGGAAAGACCCCGUGAACCUUUACUAUAGCUUGACACUGAACAUUGAGCCUUGAUGUGUAGGAUAGGUGGGAGGCUUUGAAGUGUGGACGCCAGUCUGCAUGGAGCCGACCUUGAAAUACCACCCUUUAAUGUUUGAUGUUCUAACGUUGACCCGUGAUCCGGGUUGCGGACAGUGUCUGGUGGGUAGUUUGACUGGGGCGGUCUCCUCCUAAAGAGUAACGGAGGAGCACGAAGGUUGGCUAAUCCUGGUCGGACAUCAGGAGGUUAGUGCAAUGGCAUAAGCCAGCUUGACUGCGAGCGUGACGGCGCGAGCAGGUGCGAAAGCAGGUCAUAGUGAUCCGGUGGUUCUGAAUGGAAGGGCCAUCGCUCAACGGAUAAAAGGUACUCCGGGGAUAACAGGCUGAUACCGCCCAAGAGUUCAUAUCGACGGCGGUGUUUGGCACCUCGAUGUCGGCUCAUCACAUCCUGGGGCUGAAGUAGGUCCCAAGGGUAUGGCUGUUCGCCAUUUAAAGUGGUACGCGAGCUGGGUUUAGAACGUCGUGAGACAGUUCGGUCCCUAUCUGCCGUGGGCGCUGGAGAACUGAGGGGGGCUGCUCCUAGUACGAGAGGACCGGAGUGGACGCAUCACUGGUGUUCGGGUUGUCAUGCCAAUGGCACUGCCCGGUAGCUAAAUGCGGAAGAGAUAAGUGCUGAAAGCAUCUAAGCACGAAACUUGCCCCGAGAUGAGUUCUCCCUGACUCCUUGAGAGUCCUGAAGGAACGUUGAAGACGACGACGUUGAUAGGCCGGGUGUGUAAGCGCAGCGAUGCGUUGAGCUAACCGGUACUAAUGAACCGUGAGGCUUAACCUU